AAGUAAAAAGUCGUAACAAGGUCUCCGUAGGUGAACCUGCGGAGGGAUCAUUACUGAGUGCGGGGGUUAGUUGUUCCCCCGACCUCCAACCCUUUGUGAACACAUCUUGUUGCUUCGGGGGCGACCCUGCCAUUCGUGGCAUUCCCCCCGGAGGUCAUCAAAACACUGCAUUCUUACGUCGGAGUAAAAAGUUAAUUUAAUAAAACUUUCAACAACGGAUCUCUUGGUUCUGGCAUCGAUGAAGAACGCAGCGAAAUGCGAUAAGUAAUGUGAAUUGCAGAAUUCAGUGAAUCAUCGAAUCUUUGAACGCACAUUGCGCCCCCUGGUAUUCCGGGGGGCAUGCCUGUUCGAGCGUCAUUUCACCACUCAAGCCUCGCUUGGUAUUGGGCGUCGCGAGUCUCUCGCGCGCCUCAAAGUCUCCGGCUAGGCAGUUCGUCUCCCAGCGUUGUGGCAACUAUUUCGCAGUGGAGUUCGAGCCGUCGCGGCCGUUAAAUCUUUCAAAGGUUGACCUCGGAUCAGGUAGGGAUACCCGCUGAACUUAAGCAUAUCAUA
Molecule: ribosomal RNA, 552 nt
Filed under: Ramularia nyssicola
Lineage: Eukaryota; Fungi; Ascomycota; Dothideomycetes; Mycosphaerellales; Mycosphaerellaceae
Description: eukaryotic LSU rRNA
Rfam family: 5.8S ribosomal RNA (bases 204-357)
Source: RNAcentral